RNAcentral lists this ribosomal RNA (492 nucleotides) under uncultured bacterium. RNAcentral describes it as "partial 16S ribosomal RNA". It matches the Rfam family "Bacterial small subunit ribosomal RNA", at positions 29 to 507 of the family's 1533-position model. The record is from RNAcentral.
AGUGAACGCUGGCGGUAGGCCUAACACAUGCAAGUCGAACGGCAGCACAGUAAGAGCUUGCUCUUACGGGUGGCGAGUGGCGUACGGGUGAGGAAUACAUCGGAAUCUACUUUUUCGUGGGGGAUAACGUAGGGAAACUUACGCUAAUACCGCAUACGACCUACGGGUGAAAGCAGGGGAUCUUCGGACCUUGCGCGAUUGGAUGCGCCGAUGUCGGAUUAGCUAGUUGGCGGGGUAAAGGCCCACCAAGGCGACGAUCCGUAGCUGGUCUGAGAGGAUGAUAAGCCACACGGGAACUGAGACAGGGUCAAGACUCCUACGGGAGGCAGCAGUGGGGAAUAUUGGACAAUGGGCGCAAGCCUGAUCCAGCCAUACCGCGUGGGUGACGAAGGCCUUCGGGUUGUAAAGCCCUUUUGUUGGGAAAGAAAAGCAGCAGGUUAAUACCCCGCCGUUCUGACGGUACCCAAAGAAUAAGCACCGGCUAACUUCGUG